GAUGAACGCUGGCGGCGUGCUUAACACAUGCAAGUCGAGCGAGUGAGUUCUUCGGAACGAUCUAGCGGCGGACGGGUGAGUAACACGUGGGCAACCUGCCUCAUAGAGGGGAAUAGCCUCCCGAAAGGGAGAUUAAUACCGCAUAAAAGUAUCGAGUGGCAUCGCAUGAUAAUCAAAGGAGUAAUCCGCUAUGAGAUGGGCCCGCGACGCAUUAGCUAGUUGGCGCGGUAACGGCUCAACAAGGCGACGAGGCGUAGCCGACCUGAGAAGGUGAUCGGCCACAUUGGGACUGAGACACGGCCCAGACUCCUACGGGAGGCAGCAGUGGGGAAUAUUGCACAAUGGGGGAAACCCUGAUGCAGCAACGCCGCGUGAGUGAUGAAGGUCUUCGGAUUGUAAAGCUCUGUCUUUGGGGACGAUAAUGACGGUACCCAAGGAGGAAGCCACGGCUAACUACGUGCCAGCAGCCGCAGUAA
Molecule: ribosomal RNA, 476 nt
Filed under: uncultured bacterium
Lineage: Bacteria
Description: partial 16S ribosomal RNA
Rfam family: Bacterial small subunit ribosomal RNA
Source: RNAcentral